UACGGAGGAGGCAAGCGUUAUCCGGAAUUAUUGGGCGUAAAGAGCUCGUAGGCGGUUUGUCGCGUCUGCUGUGAAAACUCGGGGCUUAACUCCGGGCCUGCAGUGGGUACGGGCAGACUAGAGUGCGGUAGGGGAGACUGGAAUUCCUGGUGUAGCGGUGAAAUGCGCAGAUAUCAGGAGGAACACCGGUGGCGAAGGCGGGUCUCUGGGCCGUAACUGACGCUGAGGAGCGAAAGCGUGGGGAGCGAACAGG
RNAcentral lists this ribosomal RNA (253 nucleotides) under uncultured bacterium. RNAcentral describes it as "partial 16S ribosomal RNA". It matches the Rfam family "Bacterial small subunit ribosomal RNA", at positions 524 to 776 of the family's 1533-position model. The record is from RNAcentral.